UACGGAGGGUGCAAGCGUUAUCCGGAUUCACUGGGUUUAAAGGGUGCGUAGGUGGAUUAGUAAGUCAGUGGUGAAAUCUCCGGGCCUAACCCGGAAACUGCCAUUGAUACUAUUAGUCUUGAAUACCGUGGAGGUCAGCGGAAUAUGUCAUGUAGCGGUGAAAUGCUUAGAUAUGACAUAGAACACCAAUUGCGAAGGCAGCUGGCUACACGAGCAUUGACACUCAGGCACGAAAGCGUGGGGAUCAAACAGG
This 253-nucleotide ribosomal RNA is filed under the name uncultured bacterium. RNAcentral describes it as "partial 16S ribosomal RNA". It matches the Rfam family "Bacterial small subunit ribosomal RNA", at positions 524 to 776 of the family's 1533-position model. The record is from RNAcentral.